Molecule: ribosomal RNA, 459 nt
Filed under: uncultured bacterium
Lineage: Bacteria
Description: partial 16S ribosomal RNA
Rfam family: Bacterial small subunit ribosomal RNA
Source: RNAcentral
CCUACGGGUGGCAGCAGUGAGGAAUAUUGGUCAAUGGCCGGAAGGCUGAACCAGCCAAGCCGCGUGAGGGAGGAAGGCGCAGAGCGUCGCAGACCUCUUUUGCCGGGGGACAAAAGGCCGGACUCGUCCGGUCCUGAGGGUACCCGGAGAAAAAGCAUCGGCUAACUCCGUGCCAGCAGCCGCGGUAAUACGGAGGAUGCGAGCGUUAUCCGGAUUUAUUGGGUUUAAAGGGUGCGUAGGCGGUAUUUUAAGUUAGUGGUAAAACGUCGGGGCUUCACCUUGAAUGGCCAUUAAAACUGGAGUACUAGAGUACAGACGAGGUAGGCGGAAUAAGUUAAGUAGCGGUGAAAUGCUUAGAUAUAACUUAGAACCCCGAUAGCGAAGGCAGCUUACCAGACUGUUACUGACGCUGAAGCACGAGAGCGUGGGUAGCGAACAGGAUUAGAUACCCCUGUAGUC